AACACUGUUAACCUGCGGUACCUGCGGAAGGAUCAUUACAGAGUUGCAAAACUCCCACAAACCAUCGCGAAUCUUACCCGUACGGUUGCCUCGGCGCUGGCGGUCCGGAAGGCCCUCGGGCCCCCGGACCCUCGGGUCCCCCGCUCGCGGGGGGCUGCCCGCCGGAGUGCCGAAACCAAACUCUUGAUAUUUUAUGUCUCUCUGAGUAAACUUUUAAAUAAGUCAAAACUUUCAGCAACG
Molecule: unclassified non-coding RNA, 240 nt
Filed under: soil metagenome
Description: partial contains 5.8S ribosomal RNA, internal transcribed spacer 2, and large subunit ribosomal RNA
Source: RNAcentral